GUUGGUGUUUGUGAUGACUAAGCUUUUUUCCCCAGCAGAUCGACCCUGUUGACUCUUGAUUUAAGCCAAACCUGUCUGACACGCCAAC
Anguilla anguilla (European eel) is the source of this 88-nucleotide small nucleolar RNA. RefSeq annotates it as small nucleolar SNORD12/SNORD106. NCBI's taxonomy places the organism in Eukaryota, Metazoa, Chordata, Actinopteri, Anguilliformes, Anguillidae. The record is from RefSeq and is a predicted model, not a curated record. The transcript has a single exon.